GUGGGGCAAGGAUGCCCAAUUCCCCGAAGGGGUGAGGGGCAGGAAGGUCAGUUUGGGGAGCCUCUAGUUUUACUGGAAGGUCUGUCUGAGUGUGGGACCUAGAAGGACUCAAGCCCUGUCCCUCCUGUGUUUCUGUGGUUUCUGGGGGUGAGGAGAAGAUACCUACAUGUAUCUCACACGCCCCCACCUCACUGAAGAGGGAAAUGCCCUCUUCCCAUCCCAGGUGCCGCACAGAACCCAACAACUGGUGUCUGCCUGGAACACAGCCCAGGAUCAAGUGAACAAGACGAUUCACUUUGAUGAAGUCCAGCUUUUGCGUAUUUGUCCAGUCCUCCUGCUGGAAGGGCAGUGUAUGAGGUGGGGUGAGCCCCAGAAACAGACGGUCCCACAUCCAGUGAUGCAGGAAGGCUUGGAGAACCAACGGCCAGAGUCGUGCUGGAGUGAAGGACACAGGGCCGCGUUCAAGCCCAUGAAUCUGUCCUCGUCCCAUGUCCCUACAGUAAAAUCAGAGCCCAUGGCAGAGUUGGUUCUGGUGGCCAUUGCAGAAGCAGCUGUCAAGACCCUGUUUCUCCUGCUCUGUCUCGUCAUCCUCAUGUGAGCACUGCCCCAGGGGAAGGGGAGAGGUAGGGAGGGCGGGGGCGUGUGGCUGAAUCCCAGAAGGGUGCAGGAGGAACUGAACAGGCUGAGGUUGGGGCAGGAAGGAGGAUUCCACUGAGUGUCCGUGAGGGGAUGUCCCUGCUCAGCUCAAGGUAAUCUGUGGGACAAGACAUGCCCUCUCUUACCUCAGUCACCUCUCCAAACGCUUAACUGGCAACACGGGUGAAUCAGUUCACCCUGCACCCCCAUGAUUAGACUGAAAGACCCUGAUCUCUUCCCUCAGAGUGAGGUUCCUCAGGAAGGAGACAGCCAGGCCUGCAGGGGGCCUGGAGGAGGCAAAGCCCACCCCCAGUUAAUCCCUCAGGCUCAUCCUGCUGCCAGUCUCCGCCCCAUCCUGACCUUACUUGCACCUGUGGCCUCCUUUCUUCCCCAGACUUCUGACCCACCUGCCUCCAGCCUCCCUCUCUCUCCUCAGCACAUUGAGUCUUGGGAGACCAUUAUCAUCCACCUCCUCCACAGCAUGAAGAGCUAUGGAUCCUCUCCAGGGCCAAGACCAAGGCUGGGUUUGAAGGCCUGGCAUGGUCCGCUCCCCACUGGACCCUCCACCGGGAUCUCUACCUCUCCCUGCGUCUUGCAACAUCUCCACAACAAGCUGGGCCAAGGUUUUGCAUGUGCCCUUCCUUCUCCUGAAGUGCCCUUUCCUCCCCAACCCUGCAUCUCCAAGUCCUAAUCAUCUUCAGGCUCAGUCUUAAAAGCCAACUAGCCCCGUGUGUGUGUGUGACUCACACGAUUUUGAAUCAAGUCGUAUUCAGUUAAGAAUAGACUCCUUCAGCAAGUACUACUGAACACCUACUAUGUGCCACCUUGUUUUGGUUUCGGGUGCAUCAGUGAACACAACAAAAUCUCUGUCAUCAAGAACUGUCAUUCUGGAGACAAGAAAUCAAAAGAAAUAAAUAAGAAAUAAUAUUAGA
Molecule: RNA transcript, 1568 nt
Organism: Enhydra lutris kenyoni (northern sea otter)
Lineage: Eukaryota; Metazoa; Chordata; Mammalia; Carnivora; Mustelidae
Exons: 3
Source: RefSeq, a predicted model, not a curated record